AUACUCUGGUUUCUCUUCAAAUCGCAUAAAUCUUUCGCCUUUUACUAAAGAUUUCCGUGGAGAGAAACAGUUCUGAGUGAUCGCACAAUUUUUUGAGACCUCACUUAGUGAGGUCU
Small nuclear RNA from Lontra canadensis (Northern American river otter), 116 nucleotides. RefSeq annotates it as U5 spliceosomal RNA. Lineage: Eukaryota; Metazoa; Chordata; Mammalia; Carnivora; Mustelidae. The record is from RefSeq and is a predicted model, not a curated record. The transcript has a single exon.